This 264-nucleotide ribosomal RNA is filed under the name Sterictiphora geminata. RNAcentral describes it as "partial large subunit ribosomal RNA". The record is from RNAcentral. Lineage: Eukaryota; Metazoa; Arthropoda; Insecta; Hymenoptera; Argidae.
AUAAUAAUUAGUCUUUUAAUUGAAGGCUGGUAUGAAUGAUUGAACGAGAUAUAUACUGUCUCAAUUAAAAUAGUAUUUAAAUUUAAUUUUUAAGUUAAAAAGCUUAAAUUUUAUUAAAGGACGAGAAGACCCUAUAGAGCUUUAUAAUUUUAAUUUAAUAGAUUUUAAUUUUAUUUUAUUAUUAUAAAAUUAUUUUGUUGGGGCGACAGGAAAAUUUUUUAAACUUUUUUGAUUUUAAAACAUUGAUUUAUGAUUUUUUGAUCC